RNAcentral lists this ribosomal RNA (875 nucleotides) under uncultured Candidatus Nitrosopumilus sp. RNAcentral's name for it is "bacterial SSU rRNA". It matches the Rfam family "Archaeal small subunit ribosomal RNA", at positions 21 to 903 of the family's 1478-position model. Lineage: Archaea; Thermoproteati; Nitrososphaerota; Nitrososphaeria; Nitrosopumilales; Nitrosopumilaceae. The record is from RNAcentral.
CCUGACUGCUAUCGGAUUGAUACUAAGCCAUGCGAGUCAUUGUAGCAAUACAAGGCAGACGGCUCAGUAACGCGUAGUCAACCUACCCUAUGGACGGGAAUAACCUCGGGAAACUGAGAAUAAUGCCCGAUAGAACACUAUACCUGGAAUGGUUUGUGUUCCAAAUGAUUUAUCGCCGUAGGAUGGGACUGCGGCCUAUCAGUUUGUUGGUGAGGUAAUGGCCCACCAAGACUAUUACAGGUACGGGCUCUGAGAGGAGAGGCCCGGAGAUGGGUACUGAGACACGGACCCAGGUCCUAUGGGGCGCAGCAGGCGAGAAAACUUUGCAAUGUGCGAAAGCACGACAAGGUUAAUCCGAGUGUUUCCUGCUAAGGGAAUCUUUUGUUAGUCGUAAAACCACUAUCGAAUAAGGGGUGGGCAAGUUCUGGUGUCAGCCGCCGCGGUAAAACCAGCACCUCAAGUGGUCAGGAGGGUUAUUGGGCCCAAAGCAUCCGUAGCCUGCUUUGUAAGUUUUCGGUUAAAUCCAUCAGCUCAACCGAUGGGCCGCCGAAAAAACUGCAAAGCUAGGGAGUGGGAGAGGUAGACGGUACUCGAUAGGAAGGGGUAAAAUCCUUUGAUCUAUUGAUGACCCCCUGUGGCGAAGGCGGUCUACCAGAACACGUUCGACGGUGAGGGAUGAAAGCUGGGGGAGCAAACCGGAUUAGAUACCCGGGUAGUCCCAGCUGUAAACGAUGCAGACUCGGUGAUGCCCUGGCUUGUGGCCAGUGCAGUGCCGCAGGGAAGCCGUUAAGUUUGCCGCCUGGGAAGUACGUACGCAAGUAUGAAACUUAAAGGAAUUGGCGGGGGAGCACCACAAGGGGUGAAGCCUGCGGUUC